AUAUAUAUAUAGAGCUGUGGCACAGGUUCCUGGCUGCUACUGUCGAAAGAGGGAUAUUACCAAUCAGGGGCACGGUCUUGUUUCUCUCUUUUUGGCUUCCGUUGCUAGUCCUUGUACAUCACAAGUACAGAUGCGAGGUUGAGGGAUUGCGCUUUCUUUGUGGGGUUCUUCUGAUCUAUAUCUUUUACAGCAUGGAGUUCCUGUCCUAUUCCUUCAACAGGAGAGAAUUUUGUUUAUAAUCUAUA
This is a long non-coding RNA of Magnolia sinica, 245 nucleotides long. RefSeq lists it as uncharacterized. NCBI's taxonomy places the organism in Eukaryota, Viridiplantae, Streptophyta, Magnoliopsida, Magnoliales, Magnoliaceae. The record is from RefSeq and is a predicted model, not a curated record. The transcript has 2 exons.